GAUGAACGCUGGCGGCGUGCCUAAUACAUGCAAGUCGAGCGAACGGACGAGAAGCUUGCUUCUCUGAUGUUAGCGGCGGACAGGUGAGUAACACGUGGAUAACCUACCUAUAAGACUGGGAUAACUUCGGGAAACCGGAGCUAAUACCGGAUAAUAUUUUGAACCGCAUGGUUCAAAAGUGAAAGACGGUCUUGCUGUCACUUAUAGAUGGAUCCGCGCUGCAUUAGCUAGUUGGUAAGGUAACGGCUUACCAAGGCAACGAUGCAUAGCCGACCUGAGAGGGUGAUCGGCCACACUGGAACUGAGACACGGUCCAGACUCCUACGGGAGGCAGCAGUAGGGAAUCUUCCGCAAUGGGCGAAAGCCUGACGGAGCAACGCCGCGUGAGUGAUGAAGGUCUUCGGAUCGUAAAACUCUGUUAUUAGGGAAGAACAUAUGUGUAAGUAACUGUGCACAUCUUGACGGUACCUAAUCAGAAAGCCACGGCUAACUACGU
This 496-nucleotide ribosomal RNA is filed under the name uncultured bacterium. RNAcentral describes it as "partial 16S ribosomal RNA". It matches the Rfam family "Bacterial small subunit ribosomal RNA", at positions 28 to 506 of the family's 1533-position model. The record is from RNAcentral.